GAAAUGUGUUGACCAUAUAUAAGCCGCUAACUUAAUAUAUUUGCGGUUAAAUUCCGUUUACAUUUCU
This 67-nucleotide transfer RNA is filed under the name Anaplecta calosoma. RNAcentral's name for it is "tRNA-Ser". Lineage: Eukaryota; Metazoa; Arthropoda; Insecta; Blattodea; Anaplectidae. The record is from RNAcentral.